UUUAAUGGCCAUACCACCUUGAACGAGCCUGAUCUCGUCUGAUCUUGGAAGCUAAGCAGGGUCGGGCCUGGUUAGUCACUUGGAUGGGAGACCGUCUGGGAAUACCGGGUGCUCCAGGUG
Ribosomal RNA from Bos taurus (domestic cattle), 120 nucleotides. NCBI's taxonomy places the organism in Eukaryota, Metazoa, Chordata, Mammalia, Artiodactyla, Bovidae. The record is from Ensembl.